AACGCUAGCUACAGGCUUAACACAUGCAAGUCGAGGGGCAGCAUGGUCUUAGCUUGCUAAGGCCGAUGGCGACCGGCGCACGGGUGAGUAACACGUAUCCAACCUGCCGUCUACUCUUGGACAGCCUUCUGAAAGGAAGAUUAACACAAGAUGGCAUCAUGAGUUCACAUGUUCACAUGAUUAAAGGUAUUCCGGUAGACGAUGGGGAUGCGUUCCAUUAGAUAGUAGGCGGGGUAACGGCCCACCUAGUCUUCGAUGGAUAGGGGUUCUGAGAGGAAGGUCCCCCACAUUGGAACUGAGACACGGUCCAAACUCCUACGGGAGGCAGCAGUGAGGAAUAUUGGUCAAUGGGCGAGAGCCUGAACCAGCCAAGUAGCGUGAAGGAUGACUGCCCUAUGGGUUGUAAACUUCUUUUAUAAAGGAAUAAAGUCGGGUAUGCAUACCCGUUUGCAUGUACUUUAUGAAUAAGGAUCGGCUAACUCCGUGCCAGCAGCCGCGGUAAUACGGAGAAUCCGAGCGUUAUCCGGAUUUAUUGGGUUUAAAGGGAGCGUAGAUGGAUGUUUAAGUCAGUUGUGAAAGUUUGCGGCUCAACCGUAAAAUUGCAGUUGAUACUGGAUAUCUUGAGUGCAGUUGAGGCAGGCGGAAUUCGUGGUGUAGCGGUGAAAUGCUUAGAUAUCACGAAGAACUCCGAUUG
RNAcentral lists this ribosomal RNA (694 nucleotides) under uncultured Bacteroidales bacterium. RNAcentral's name for it is "bacterial SSU rRNA". It matches the Rfam family "Bacterial small subunit ribosomal RNA", at positions 32 to 715 of the family's 1533-position model. The record is from RNAcentral. Lineage: Bacteria; Pseudomonadati; Bacteroidota; Bacteroidia; Bacteroidales.